UUAAAUUGAAGAGUUUGAUCAUGGCUCAGAUUGAACGCUGGCGGCAGGCCUAACACAUGCAAGUCGAACGGUAACAGGAAGCAGCUUGCUGCUUUGCUGACGAGUGGCGGACGGGUGAGUAAUGUCUGGGAAACUGCCUGAUGGAGGGGGAUAACUACUGGAAACGGUAGCUAAUACCGCAUAACGUCGCAAGACCAAAGAGGGGGACCUUCGGGCCUCUUGCCAUCGGAUGUGCCCAGAUGGGAUUAGCUUGUUGGUGGGGUAACGGCUCACCAAGGCGACGAUCCCUAGCUGGUCUGAGAGGAUGACCAGCCACACUGGAACUGAGACACGGUCCAGACUCCUACGGGAGGCAGCAGUGGGGAAUAUUGCACAAUGGGCGCAAGCCUGAUGCAGCCAUGCCGCGUGUAUGAAGAAGGCCUUCGGGUUGUAAAGUACUUUCAGCGGGGAGGAAGGGAGUAAAGUUAAUACCUUUACUCAUUGACGUUACCCGCAGAAGAAGCACCGGCUAACUCCGUGCCAGCAGCCGCGGUAAUACGGAGGGUGCAAGCGUUAAUCGGAAUUACUGGGCGUAAAGCGCACGCAGGCGGUUUGUUAAGUCAGAUGUGAAAUCCCCGGGCUCAACCUGGGAACUGCAUCUGAUACUGGCAAGCUUGAGUCUCGUAGAGGGGGGUAGAAUUCCAGGUGUAGCGGUGAAAUGCGUAGAGAUCUGGAGGAAUACCGGUGGCGAAGGCGGCCCCCUGGACGAAGACUGACGCUCAGGUGCGAAAGCGUGGGGAGCAAACAGGAUUAGAUACCCUGGUAGUCCACGCCGUAAACGAUGUCGACUUGGAGGUUGUGCCCUUGAGGCGUGGCUUCCGGAGCUAACGCGUUAAGUCGACCGCCUGGGGAGUACGGCCGCAAGGUUAAAACUCAAAUGAAUUGACGGGGGCCCGCACAAGCGGUGGAGCAUGUGGUUUAAUUCGAUGCAACGCGAAGAACCUUACCUGGUCUUGACAUCCACGGAAGUUUUCAGAGAUGAGAAUGUGCCUUCGGGAACCGUGAGACAGGUGCUGCAUGGCUGUCGUCAGCUCGUGUUGUGAAAUGUUGGGUUAAGUCCCGCAACGAGCGCAACCCUUAUCCUUUGUUGCCAGCGGUCCGGCCGGGAACUCAAAGGAGACUGCCAGUGAUAAACUGGAGGAAGGUGGGGAUGACGUCAAGUCAUCAUGGCCCUUACGACCAGGGCUACACACGUGCUACAAUGGCGCAUACAAAGAGAAGCGACCUCGCGAGAGCAAGCGGACCUCAUAAAGUGCGUCGUAGUCCGGAUUGGAGUCUGCAACUCGACUCCAUGAAGUCGGAAUCGCUAGUAAUCGUGGAUCAGAAUGCCACGGUGAAUACGUUCCCGGGCCUUGUACACACCGCCCGUCACACCAUGGGAGUGGGUUGCAAAAGAAGUAGGUAGCUUAACCUUCGGGAGGGCGCUUACCACUUUGUGAUUCAUGACUGGGGUGAAGUCGUAACAAGGUAACCGUAGGGGAACCUGCGGUUGGAUCACCUCCUUACCUUAAAGAAGC
RNAcentral lists this ribosomal RNA (1556 nucleotides) under Escherichia coli. RNAcentral's name for it is "bacterial SSU rRNA". It matches the Rfam family "Bacterial small subunit ribosomal RNA". The record is from RNAcentral. Lineage: Bacteria; Pseudomonadati; Pseudomonadota; Gammaproteobacteria; Enterobacterales; Enterobacteriaceae.